AGGAAACAACUCCAAGAAUACAUUAAUCUAAACCCACUACACUUCUAAAUCUCAAAGAACAGAGAGCAAAGGAAGCUGGAGAGAGGCCAGAAGUGACCAACUUUAUUCCCCCACUCUGUAUUGUACACCCCCCCCUCCACACACACACACACACCCGGUCUAAUCUUCCCUACCCUACUAGGUGGUUUAAGAAUUUUAUCCUUUCUUCAGACUGGAAAAGGAAGUAGGGGCUGGAACUAGGUGUAUACAAGUUGUUGAAAAGGCUUUCCGUGGAUUUUGAGGACUGAGCUAAGAGUAUGAUUUUUAUAGAACAACCAGAGCCUCUAAUUUGAGAAUGAAGGUCCACACUCAUUCUCUGGCCUGAGUCCUAUCAGCAGAAUCACUGAGGCCAAGACUAAGAAAUAGAUAACUAAUCUCUUCACAUGGGGAGGCUAGUAAGUAAAUAAUGCAAACACCGAGUUCUGCCAAGAGGAAGAAACCUUUUAAGCCAGGCAACUGCUGAACACAUUGCCAAAAAGGAGAGGCUUCCACAUUAAUCACUACAGCUUUCAAAAAAGUAAAUCAGGUUCAAGAGCAGUCAUUCUCCUGCAGAAUGUCAGUGGCAGGCAAAUUGGCCUCCAAGCGCUGUGAAAUUAGAUCAGCCGUUCUGACGUUCUCAUUUCCAUCAGAUUCCUUUGAGGACCUUGCACAUUUAUCAGAUAACCGGACCAAUCUCGGACACUCCUUCAGAACCCACAGAUCUGUGAUUUACUACGUUCUCCCAGUGAUUCUGACACACGCCCAAGGUGGAACCCCUUCUUUCUGGCUCACAUACCUACUCCGGUUCCUAAAUGUUGACCUUAGUCCAGUUUCUUAAAUUGUGAAUCCAGUUCUCUCAUCUCUAAAAUGGAGAUAGUAAAUAGUACCUUAUCCUGGGUCUACUGUGAGUAUUGGAUAAAAUAGUACAGGUGAAGAGCAAAGCAGCAUGAGUGUCACACAGUAAGCACUUAGGAAAUGUCUGUGCUUAUUAUUACUCCUACGAAAGAGGCUCGCUGCCCCAUGGAUAGCUGCAGAUACGAAAUGCCCUUCAACACUGUAACCGGAAAUUCUAUAUGAUUCAUGCUCAUUGUAAAUCUGGAUUGCUGUAUCAGCCAUUUCCUGAAAGAGAUAAUUAUGACGUGCUUGUUAAUAUUACUUUUAUUUGUUGAAAUACUCUUAGAGUGUUUGAUCCUCAGGAAGUUAUCAUCACCAAUGAUUUUAUGAGUGUACUGAGAGUAAUUUUUAGGUUCCAAGCGAGAGAAAAGCAAAUAUGAAUGCUUCUCUGCUGUUCUGAGAUCAAAGAGCCUGAGUGACGUGAUCACGUCCCUACAAAAAAUGCCAAACGCCAACCUGCUGAUAAGGCUGCUGCGGGUGCCUUACAUCUGUGUGCCUCCCUCAAUGCCUACCCCGGCUGUCUGUUGACAAGGAAUAUUUUGAAGUGUCUAAGAAUUAUUUUAUGACUCUAAUAAUCAUUGUUUCUUUAGUGACUCAGGUCUACACCUGUAACACUCAGGUGUUAC
This 1538-nucleotide long non-coding RNA is filed under the name Lynx pardinus (Iberian lynx). Lineage: Eukaryota; Metazoa; Chordata; Mammalia; Carnivora; Felidae. The record is from RNAcentral.